AUGGGACCCAGGCUCCUCUUCUGGGCACUGCUUUGUCUCCUCGGAACAGGCCCAGUGGAGGCUGGAGUCACACAAAGUCCCACACACCUGAUCAAAACGAGAGGACAGCAAGCGACUCUGAGAUGCUCUCCUAUCUCUGGGCACACCAGUGUGUACUGGUACCAACAGGCCCUGGGUCUGGGCCUCCAGUUCCUCCUUUGGUAUGACGAGGGUGAAGAGAGAAACAGAGGAAACUUCCCUCCUAGAUUUUCAGGUCGCCAGUUCCCUAAUUAUAGCUCUGAGCUGAAUGUGAACGCCUUGGAGCUGGAGGACUCGGCCCUGUAUCUCUGUGCCAGCAGCUUGG
Molecule: non-coding RNA, 343 nt
Organism: Homo sapiens (human)
Lineage: Eukaryota; Metazoa; Chordata; Mammalia; Primates; Hominidae
Source: the annotation of a RefSeq genome assembly